This 629-nucleotide long non-coding RNA is filed under the name Mytilus galloprovincialis (Mediterranean mussel). The record is from RNAcentral. Lineage: Eukaryota; Metazoa; Mollusca; Bivalvia; Mytilida; Mytilidae.
UUAUAAUAUGUCUGUGCAUCAAUAAUGGUAUGAUUCUCAAAAAUAAUUUGCAAAACAUUUUUGUUGGUAUGUUCUAAGAAUGUUUUCAUCCUUAAUGUAACAUUCUAAUAUAAUUUUGCAUUCAAUUUGUACUUUAUUUUUAUUUGCAAUGAGAAAUUAUAUGUGAGGAGCAUUUAUUUGUAAUUAGCAAAAUCAGGGGAAGUAACUCCACAAUUAAUUCCUAAAAGGCAAAUUAUUUUGACUUGAGACUGGCGUAAUAGGGUUCAUUAACAAAUGUCUGCUUGUCCCUCACAAGUCUGUUAUUUAAAUUAUGAUCUCUAAAUUAAUUAAAACACAAAAGAAUCAUGUACAUCGAUUAAAUCCAAUCAUCAAGGUUAACCUCAACAGGUAAAUCGAUCACGUGGUGUAAACAAUCAUCUUGUCAAUACUGGAUUAAACUGGUUAGAACUGGUCAAUUUUGAUGUAAAGUUGAAGUCAUCUGAAACUUUACCGAUUUUAAUACGAUUUUUUUACCGAAAACUUUAGCACCACGGAAAAAAAUUAUACAUCGCGGCAAGAACGAUACCACCGCGGCAGAAAAUUAUACAUCGCGGGCCCGUGGUCCUUUAAGGGCCUGGGGAGAACACUGC